Molecule: ribosomal RNA, 468 nt
Filed under: uncultured bacterium
Lineage: Bacteria
Description: partial 16S ribosomal RNA
Rfam family: Bacterial small subunit ribosomal RNA
Source: RNAcentral
GACGAACGCUGGCGGCGUGCUUAACACAUGCAAGUCGAACGGAAAGGCCCUGCUUUUGUGGGGUGCUCGAGUGGCGAACGGGUGAGUAACACGUGAGUAACCUGCCCUUGACUUUGGGAUAACUUCAGGAAACUGGGGCUAAUACCGGAUAGGAGCUCCUGCUGCAUGGUGGGGGUUGGAAAGUUUCGGCGGUUGGGGAUGGACUCGCGGCUUAUCAGCUUGUUGGUGGGGUAGUGGCUUACCAAGGCUUUGACGGGUAGCCGGCCUGAGAGGGUGACCGGCCACACUGGGACUGAGAUACGGCCCAGACUCCUACGGGAGGCAGCAGUGGGGAAUAUUGCACAAUGGGCGGAAGCCUGAUGCAGCAACGCCGCGUGCGGGAUGACGGCCUUCGGGUUGUAAACCGCCUUCGCCUGUGACGAAGCGUGAGUGACGGUAAUGGGUAAAGAAGCACCGGCUAACUACGUG